Molecule: non-coding RNA, 21 nt
Organism: Caenorhabditis elegans
Lineage: Eukaryota; Metazoa; Nematoda; Chromadorea; Rhabditida; Rhabditidae
Source: Ensembl
UGUCAUAGCGAUACGUUCUUA